CACGUAGGGCGCAAGCGUUGUCCGGAAUUAUUGGGCGUAAAGAGCUCGUAGGCGGUCUGUUGCGUCCGCUGUGAAAACUCGGGGCUUAACCCCGAGCCUGCAGUGGAUACGGGCAGACUAGAGGUAGGUAGGGGAGAAUGGAAUUCCUGGUGUAGCGGUGAAAUGCGCAGAUAUCAGGAGGAACACCGAUGGCGAAGGCAGGUCUCUGGGCAUUAACUGACGCUGAGGGGCGAAAGCAUGGGGAGCGAACAGG
RNAcentral lists this ribosomal RNA (253 nucleotides) under uncultured bacterium. Its description in RNAcentral is "partial 16S ribosomal RNA". It matches the Rfam family "Bacterial small subunit ribosomal RNA", at positions 524 to 776 of the family's 1533-position model. The record is from RNAcentral.